AAACAAAGGUGUGUACUCUCC
RNAcentral lists this microRNA (21 nucleotides) under Oreochromis niloticus (Nile tilapia). RNAcentral's name for it is "oni-miR-10589". The record is from miRBase by way of RNAcentral. Lineage: Eukaryota; Metazoa; Chordata; Actinopteri; Cichliformes; Cichlidae.